Molecule: long non-coding RNA, 517 nt
Organism: Taeniopygia guttata (zebra finch)
Lineage: Eukaryota; Metazoa; Chordata; Aves; Passeriformes; Estrildidae
Source: RefSeq, a predicted model, not a curated record
GGCAAGGGCAGAAAAUGGAGAUGCUCUGGAGUUAUCAAUUUUUUUAAAUACAGUUUAAGCACAUAGCUUCUGUUGCCAUCACUGGGAAGACAUCAGUCAGAUAACCCUGGCAGAGGAGGAAGCUGCUUCUCAGAGCACAGACAAAGCCCUGUGAAAGGAUGUCCUAAUGCUCCUCGGAGGAACAAGGCUGUGUGAAGGAACUACGGAUUCUCUUUACUGUGAUACCUUGGAAGAAGACACCAGAGAAAAAACACUCAGCCAAGGGUUUCCCUGUUGGUGAAGAAAAUCACACCUGAAGCACAAAGUGACCUAUUCUAUAUGAAGUCAGAAAGAGCAAAACCUCGGAUUUGAAAAACUCUGGAGUUUUGUGGAAUGUUUGAUACUGAUCUGACACGUGUGACUCAAGCCUUUGUGGCCCAUUGUAUGUUGGGGUGUUUUUUUGAUGAAGAAAAUAACCAAUAAAUCCAGGUCUGAAUGGUCAUGAUCCCUGGAAGUCUAUGCAUUAAAAUACAAUCAA